UACGAAGGGGGCUAGCGUUGCUCGGAAUCACUGGGCGUAAAGCGCACGUAGGCGGCUUUCUAAGUCAGGGGUGAAAUCCUGGAGCUCAACUCCAGAACUGCCUUUGAUACUGGAGAGCUUGAGUCCGGAAGAGGUGAGUGGAACUCCGAGUGUAGAGGUGAAAUUCGUAGAUAUUCGGAAGAACACCAGUAGCGAAGGCGGCUCACUGGUCCGGUACUGACGCUGAUGUGCGAAAGCGUGGGGAGCAAACAGG
This 253-nucleotide ribosomal RNA is filed under the name uncultured bacterium. Its description in RNAcentral is "partial 16S ribosomal RNA". It matches the Rfam family "Bacterial small subunit ribosomal RNA", at positions 524 to 776 of the family's 1533-position model. The record is from RNAcentral.